Molecule: transfer RNA, 73 nt
Filed under: Papilio xuthus (Asian swallowtail)
Lineage: Eukaryota; Metazoa; Arthropoda; Insecta; Lepidoptera; Papilionidae
Rfam family: tRNA
About the family: Transfer RNA (tRNA) molecules are approximately 80 nucleotides in length. Their secondary structure includes four short double-helical elements and three loops (D, anti-codon, and T loops).
Source: Rfam by way of RNAcentral
GCCCCUGUGGCCUAAUGGAUAAAGCAUCGGCCUCCUAAGCCAGGGAUUGUGGGUUCGAGUUCCACCAGGGGUA